RNAcentral lists this ribosomal RNA (718 nucleotides) under uncultured bacterium. RNAcentral's name for it is "bacterial SSU rRNA". It matches the Rfam family "Bacterial small subunit ribosomal RNA", at positions 136 to 851 of the family's 1533-position model. The record is from RNAcentral.
CAGGGGGAUAACCCGGAGAAAUCCGGCCUAAUACCGCGUAACACCUUUUGGGAGCAUUCCCGGGAGGUUAAAGGAGAGAUCCGGCAUCGGAUGGACAUGCGUCGCAUUAGGUAGACGGCGGGGUAACGGCCCACCGUGCCGACGAUGCGUAGGGGUUCUGAGAGGAAGGCCCCCCACACUGGUACUGAGACACGGACCAGACUCCUACGGGAGGCAGCAGUGAGGAAUAUUGGUCAAUGGCCGAGAGGCUGAACCAGCCAAGUCGCGUGAGGGAAGAAUGUCCUAAGGAUUGUAAACCUCUUUUGUCGGGGAGCAAAAAGGCUCUGCGGAGUCGUAUUGAGAGUACCCGAAGAAAAAGCAUCGGCUAACUCCGUGCCAGCAGCCGCGGUAAUACGGAGGAUGCGAGCGUUAUCCGGAUUUAUUGGGUUUAAAGGGUGCGCAGGCGGCGUGUCAAGCAAGCGGUAAAAUAGCGGGGCUCAACCCCGUCGAGCCGUUUGAACUGGCGCGCUUGAGUUCAGGCGAGGUAGGCGGAAUUCGUGGUGUAGCGGUGAAAUGCAUAGAUAUCACGAAGAACUCCGAUUGCGAAGGCAGCUUACCAGUCUGCGACUGACGCUCAGGCACGAAAGUGUGGGUAUCGAACAGGAUUAGAUACCCUGGUAGUCCACACAGUAAACGAUGAGCGCUAGGUGUCCGGGUCGCAUGAGACUGGGUGCCCGAG